AGGGGAAUGGUCGGGAUAGCUCAGCUGGUAGAGCAAAAGACUGAAAAUCCUCGUGUCACCAGU
This 63-nucleotide transfer RNA is filed under the name Juttadinteria albata. RNAcentral describes it as "partial transfer RNA-Phe". The record is from RNAcentral. Lineage: Eukaryota; Viridiplantae; Streptophyta; Magnoliopsida; Caryophyllales; Aizoaceae.